GAGACAACAGCAGUGGAUCUGAGAUAUUACACGAGGAACUUUAAUGUGUGGGAAAUGAUUCGGUGACUCACACGCUCCCCAUGUUUCAUUUUCUCCGAGCCCACAUCCCUACAUCUACCAUCCCUGCUCCUCAUUCUGGGCCCAGUGGUUUUCUCACCAAAUCACAGACUUCAGAGCUGGCAGUGUUGAGAGUCGGAACACAGAAGGAAGUACAUGUCCUCAAGUCUACAUACAUGAAGGGCUAAGUCAGGCAAAGAAGGUGCUUUUAAUUAAGAACCAAAGGGUACCUUUAAUUAUCUCCAGUGUUUCAAAUAGGAUGAGCAUACUGCCUGUGAUUUAAAUCAGAAAUCAUGGAUCAGAAAGUUGGUUAUCACAAAGUUCAUAUGAAUUCCCAGAGCCAUCUAGAGGAGAAAGAAGGAGAAGAGGAGGAACAAAAAGCAGGACUCAUUUUCUGAGCAUCAUUGUAUGACAAGCACUCUGUUUGGUGUGUACGCCUUACACUUAUCAUAUGUUAUGAUGGUGUCUCUACAAUGAGUUCCAAGAAAGACAAAAAGACCAUUCAAAUU
Molecule: long non-coding RNA, 566 nt
Filed under: Bos taurus (domestic cattle)
Lineage: Eukaryota; Metazoa; Chordata; Mammalia; Artiodactyla; Bovidae
Description: long non-coding RNA NONBTAT025538
Source: RNAcentral